UUUGUACUUCCUCCGUCCCAAAAUUCUUGUCUUAGAUUUGUCUAAAUACAGAUGUAUCAAGUCCCAAAAUGCUUGUCUUAGAUUUGUUUAAAUACAGAUGUAUUAAGUCACAUUUUAGUAUUAGAUACAUCCAUAUUUAGACAAAUCUAGUACAAGAAUUUUAGAACGGAGGGAGUACUUU
Molecule: non-coding RNA, 181 nt
Organism: Triticum aestivum (bread wheat)
Lineage: Eukaryota; Viridiplantae; Streptophyta; Magnoliopsida; Poales; Poaceae
Source: Rfam